Molecule: ribosomal RNA, 116 nt
Filed under: Pteropus alecto (black flying fox)
Lineage: Eukaryota; Metazoa; Chordata; Mammalia; Chiroptera; Pteropodidae
Source: RNAcentral
GUCUACGGCCACGCCACCCGGAAUGAGCCCCAUGUCUGGUCUCGGAAGCUAAGCAGGGUCAGGCCUGGUGAGUACUUGGAUGGGAGAUCACCCAGGAAGACCAGGUGCUGUAGGUG